This 229-nucleotide ribosomal RNA is filed under the name uncultured bacterium. RNAcentral describes it as "partial 16S ribosomal RNA". It matches the Rfam family "Bacterial small subunit ribosomal RNA", at positions 568 to 796 of the family's 1533-position model. The record is from RNAcentral.
UGCGCAGGUGGGCUUGUAAGUCAGUGGUGAAAUCUUGCCGCUUAACGGUAAAAUUGCCAUUGAUACUGCAAGUCUUGAGUAUGGUUGAGGUAGGUGGAAUGUGUUGUGUAGCGGUGAAAUGCAUAGAUAUGACACAGAACGCCGAUUGCGAAGGCAACUUACUAAGCCAUUACUGACGCUGAGGCACGAAAGCGUAGGGAGCGAACAGGAUUAGAUACCCUGGUAGUCC